CACUGGUUUUGAUAAAUCUCAUAUUUCCAGUUAUAAAGUGGCUGUGUGCUUCUAGAUGACUAUGGAACAGGAAAUCUACUAUGCAUUGCCAAAUACCUCCCCCUAUAAAUUUCUAGAUUCACUGAAUCAGUCAAAGGGGACUACAAAGCCUUAUAACAUUGGGCCGAUCAUUCUGAUGUAAACAGAUAAGUACCUACAGUGGCAUUUUCUAUCACUGAAUCAGUCAAGUGGAAACUGGGUCCUAAUGAAAAGACCAAAGAACCAUUAUAACAGUUCUCCAAGAAAACCUCAUUAGAAUGACAUGAAAUCUCAUUCAAUUAUCAUCAAGAGAAUCGAGUUCAUUCUUCUCAUCUGCAGCAAGCUAGAGGAAGUUCUCAUCUAGAUGUAAAAUGUGUCAAAAGUAAAAAGUAGGAAUAUCACAUACAAAAAAAUAAUAAUAAUUUUAUAAAUUAGUUAGGACACUGAAUUGCUCAAUGCACAUAUAACAAAACUGAGUUUUACUACAUUCAACCAGAAAUCCAUCUGGCAUUAAAACUGAUUUAUUAUCUUAUUUUUAUUUUAUGUGGACUUUAUUUUAUUUUUUAUUUAGUUUUCUUUACAUGAUAAUAUGGAUAGCAAGUUGUGCUAUC
Long non-coding RNA from Hyla sarda, 629 nucleotides. RefSeq lists it as uncharacterized. Lineage: Eukaryota; Metazoa; Chordata; Amphibia; Anura; Hylidae. The transcript has 3 exons. The record is from RefSeq and is a predicted model, not a curated record.